GCCGUGGUGCUGGAAUUGGUAGACAGGCUAGCUUGAGGGGCUAGUGCUUGUAAAAGCGUGCGAGUUCAAGUCUCGCUCACGGCACCA
This 87-nucleotide transfer RNA is filed under the name Candidatus Moraniibacteriota bacterium. Its description in RNAcentral is "tRNA-Leu". It matches the Rfam family "tRNA". Rfam says of the family: Transfer RNA (tRNA) molecules are approximately 80 nucleotides in length. Their secondary structure includes four short double-helical elements and three loops (D, anti-codon, and T loops). The record is from RNAcentral. Lineage: Bacteria; Candidatus Moraniibacteriota.